Crotalus tigris (Tiger rattlesnake) is the source of this 718-nucleotide long non-coding RNA. RefSeq lists it as uncharacterized. NCBI's taxonomy places the organism in Eukaryota, Metazoa, Chordata, Lepidosauria, Squamata, Viperidae. The transcript has 5 exons. The record is from RefSeq and is a predicted model, not a curated record.
AAAGAGACCGCGUGGAAGCUUCUCGUUCUUUUUCGCGCUUCGUCACAUUUCUGCUUUGUGUUGUUGGAGGGAGGUUUUCUGCCAUUGCUGCCAUGUGGGAUCUAACUUCAAAAAGACAUCGAAAGAACCAGUGUGUAGAGUUGCGGGAGAAACAUCCAAAGGGAGCCAGAAGCUGCCCUCCAAGAUGAGCAGUUGUGAUUGAAAUGCCAACCCAUGACUGGAAAGAUAUUUCUCACCUACCCAGUCUUCAAAGAUGGAAGUCCCUCCAGAUUUUGUUGAAGAGGCUUAUUAGAUACACUAAUUGUACUGCUGUGAACAUGGUUAAAAUCACAGACCAGAUUUGCAUUAUUAAAGUUGAGAACUGAAAGAAGAUUUUAGAGGAAUACACUAAUGCAUGGAGGUAGGCUUGGACAAACACUACAAUGCCCUCAAGACUACUGAAAGUGUCCACACUUUUCCCUUGAGAUGUCUGAUGACCCAUAUAUUGAGGCAAAGACAUUCUUUCCUGCAUUAUUGUGGCAGUAAACUUACAAGCUUAGCUUCUCUUCCCUUUGUUGUACACAGUCACUAAAUGGGUCCAGUUUCAGAGCCGGCUAUUUGCGAGACCGCCUACUACUUCAUAGUUCCCUUCGUCCGGUUAGAGAUCCCACAGGCUGGGCCUCCUUUAGGUCCCGUCUUGGCCAAGCAGUGCCAUUUGGCGGGGCCGCGGAGGAGGGUU